Non-coding RNA from Monodelphis domestica (gray short-tailed opossum), 16238 nucleotides. NCBI's taxonomy places the organism in Eukaryota, Metazoa, Chordata, Mammalia, Didelphimorphia, Didelphidae. The record is from RefSeq and is a predicted model, not a curated record.
CCCCCGCGUGACCUCACCGCGGUGGAACAGCGGGAGGAAAGGGGAGGGAGGAAGCAGGCGGGGUGAGAACGGUCGGAGAACUAGCUUCUUGGCAUGCACUUGAUUUUGAUUGAUCUUCAUAACAACCCCAAUCAGAUGAAGAACAAUUGGUCUACAUCUUGCAAGUGACGAAACUGAAGUUCACCAGGGUUAAGUGACUUGCCCAGAGUCACACAGCUAUUUGAAAAUUCAAACCCACUCUGACUCCAAGGUCAACAUGCUGUCUAACCACUUGGCCUCAUUGCUUCUCAAAACUAACAUUUAUUUAGCUUGAAAAUUUGUGGGGAGGGUGUGACCAGGAAGAACCUGGUUACUUAACCAAGUUAAACAUGAGGCCUUUGUUCUGUUUUAAAAGAUGGCGGCUCCCCCGCCCCCCCAAAGGUGCACAUUGCCAUUAGCACAAUUGAGACACUGAUCCUAUAUCCUUGAGAGGGAUAUGAAUAAUAAACACCCUUACCCUGAGUGCUGAUUGGCUAUACUACAUGGAUGGGUAUGAAAAACAUAACUCUCCCCCGGGAUCAAUAGGCAUAGAUGGGAAGGUGGGUGUUGAGUUAGGCAUCCAUUGUCAGAACUGCCCUAUAUGAUUGAUUUAUUUUUUCUUUUAACUCUUUAGUCAUUCGGCAAGCAUUUAUUCUGUGACUGGCUCUAUGCAAAGCAUUAGAGGUAAUGAAGAAAGACAAAAAUCAGAUUCCUAUUCUCAAAUACCUCACAUUUCUAACAAGGGAGGCAACAUACAAUAAACUAUACAACUCUGGACAUGCAAUAUACAUGCAGUGGCAAUGGAAGGUAAUCUUAGAGGGAUGGCAGGAGGACUGACUAGGAAGAUCUUUCCCAGAAAGUGGGAUUUGAGUUGUGUUAAAAUAAGCAGAGAAUUAAGGACUUGUUAGAGGCAGCUAUGGCUAUGAUGAGUUGGUCUUGCUUCUUUCCCACAGUCAUCCUUUGCCUGAGGUCUAUCAAAACUUAAAAGAGGGCAAACAUAAGAACAAAAACCCCAUUCCCCAGCCACUCUAGCCUCUGGAUAUCGAAGCCUUUCUCAAGUUUCUGUGGAUUCGUGUGCUCUGACUGCCCCCACACCGUACCUUUUCAAAAGACUAACUGGGGCAGCUGGGCUGCUCAAUGGAUAGAGCACCAGGCUUGGAGGUGGGAGGUCCCAAGUUCAAAUAUGACCUUAGACACUUCUUAGCUGUGUGACCCAAGGCAAGUCACUUAACCUAGUCAACCUAAAAAAAUACUGAACCACCAAAGCAGUUACAAAAGAACACAUUUUUAGUCAGGAAAAGGGAGACAGUGUUCUUAUGAACAUCAUAGAGAGCCAAUACACACCAGACAGAGCCAAGCUCUGGGAACACUGUCUCUGGGAAAGACACCCAAAAUGGGAAUUUUCAUCAAAUUAAAUAAAUUAGAGUCUUUUUUUUCUUUUUUUUAAAAUGUAUUCAUUUAAAAUUUUUUAUUGUCAUGCAAAACAUUUCCAUAUUGGUCAUUGUUGUAAGAGCAUACUCAUAUAUAACCAGAACCCCAAAUAAAACCAUAAAUACACUGAUGUGAAAGAAAACUCCAAUAAGAACUUGGGGUCUUUUAUAUGCUUUAGGGCAGUGAUGGUGAACUUUUUAGGCACUGCAUGCCAUGUCCCACCCCACCACCUUACUCCAGAAAGGGGGGAGAGAGAAGGAGGGAAGUGACCCAGGUGCUGUGCUCAGAGAAGAGAGUAAGUGCUUCCAUUGGGCUGCUGGGCAGAGGGACAGGGAGGAAUAGUGGAGGGGGAAGGGAACAGAUCCACCCAAGUCCCUCUUCCUUUCUAGUAACUAACUGGUUGUCAGUGACACACAUGCCCACAGAGAGGUCUCUGCAUGCUGUGUUUGGCACAUGUGCUAUAGGUUCACCAUUGUGGCUUUAGGGAGUAUAGGAAAGGAAGGACAACUGACUGACUAACUUAGAGGCUUGGGAAAGAGUAUGUAGCCAGUGGCUAGAAUACCUAGGAAUGGCCUAGAUACAAUAAGUGAAACUAAGAAGACAAAAAGGGUAAUUAAUAUUUGACAUCUGCUUAUCCUAUACAGGAUGAUCCAUGGGUGAUUAAGGGUUUCUUAAAAUAAUGCUGUCAACCCCAAUUGCUUAUCCCUUACCACUCUUUCUGCCUUGUAAUAUAGAUUCCAAGACUAAAGGUAAGGGUUUAAUAAAAGAUAAAAAGACUAUUUCCUUCUCUGUAUUUGAUUGGAUACCCCAGUACUUUGGCAUUGAGCAAAUCCCAUAUUGUAAUCUCCUUGACCCUACUUUAAGGGUCUUUAUUAUUACUACUUUGGUAGUUUUGCUUUAUUCAGGUUGACAAAAUCAAAUGUGAGAAGGGAGAGCAUUCUGGGAAUGUGGGAAAGCCAAUGCAAAAACGUAAUGUUCAGAGAUGGAGUGUUCUAUGUGAAGAACUUCAAAACGGCCCAUGUUAUUGGAUAGAGUUCAUAAGGGGCUAAAAGCAUGUGAAAACUAUAAAUAUAGGAAGGAGACAGUUUGUGGGGGACUUUAAACAGGUCCCUCAAUGUUUUAUAGAUUUGGGUUAUACAAAACCUAACUCAUCUUCCUGCCAUCCCCAUAUCCUCCCUUCUUAAGUUCCUUACUGCCAUCCAGGGCACCAUCAUCCUGAUGUCCUCCAGGUUUAGUAUCUCAGUGUUAGUCUCUGCUCCUCACUAUCCUUCACCCCCAAACCCCUCUCUUUCUCCAAGUCUUUCACAUCUCUCACAUAUACUCUCUUCCCUCCUCUGACAGCCACCACUCAGUUUCAGAUCCUCACACUUGGACUAUUUAUUACAAUAGUCUGCUGACUGACCUUCCUCUCUCAAGUCUCUCUUCCACUCCAGUUCAUCCUCCACUCAACUAUCAAAAUGAUCUUUCCAAAGAGGAGAUUUGACCAAAUUAUUUUCUAUUCAAUAAGUUCCAGUGGCUCCCUGUUGCCUUGCUUUUAAAGCCUCUUAUUAUCCACCCUCUUCCUACCAUCCUUCUGCCAACCUGAAAACACACACACACACAAACAGAACUCCCAAAGCAGUUACAAAAGAACACCUUUAAUCAGGCAGGACAAGGGAGACAGUGCUUUUAUGGCCAGCGCAGAGUCGUACACAGAAACCACACAGAGCCUCUCAGCUCUAAGACUCUUAAGAACACCAACAAUGGGAGUUUCCCAAGACUAAAGAAUUUUGGACUCUAUUUAUAACUUAGAGGAUAUAUCCAAAGAGAAACAACUGUCAAGUUACAUAGAGGCUUGGGACAGAGGUUGUAGCUGAGGGUUGCCUAAAUAAGAAAAAGGGUUCUUAAGACUUGACCACAUCUACCACCAUAGAAAACAUCAUUGGCAAAAGAUAUAGAUCAUGUCUUUCAUAUUUCCACUUCUCAGUUAAUUCCCUGGAGGUGAACAUUCACAAGUUAUUCUGUAAAUACUAAAUCUGAAGUUGUAUAUAAUGUUCUCUUGGCUCUACUCAUUUCACUCUUCCAUAUCUCCUGUAGUUCUUUAAAAGAUUAAUUUGCUUAUCAUCACUACAUGCCCCACACCCCUAUCAACUCUUAAGAAUUUUUUAUGAGCCUUCAUAAUUAAAAUACUGACAUGCUUUGAAUCAUUGUUACCACUAACACAAAUUUAAAUGGGGAGAGAACUUGGUAUUAGCAGACCUGGGUUUCAGCCAAAGUUAUGAUACUAAUUGUAAGUGUAUGGACCAUUCUUAAGCCCUUCUGGCCCCAUUUUGCACACCUAUAAAAUGGACCAGUAGUCUAACCUCUCAGGGCCCCAGGCAACUAUAUGACUGAAGUUGCAAAGCAGGUGCUGACCUGCACUUAGAAGAGGGAGUUUCCUCAUCAGGAAUUCCCAAUAACCACAAAAAGCCAGUUCAUGUCAAAACAAAACAAAAAAUUGGGAAGAUAAUAAUCACAUUAUUUCAUCUUUUUUUUUAAAUAACCCUUAUCUUCUGCCUUUGAAUCUUCAUUCUCUUUCCUUUUAAACAUGUCCCUUUCCUAACUUCCUUAUUACUGUCAAAGAUGCCACCAACCUUGGGUUUUUUUAAAACCCUUACCUUCCAUCUUGGAAUCAAUACUGUGUAUUGGUUCCAAAGCAGAAGAAUGGUAAGGGCUAGGCAAUGGGAAUUAAGCGACUUGCCCAGGGUCACACAGUUAGGAAGUAUCGGGUCAAAUUUGAACCCAGACCCUCCCAUCUCCAGGACUCUUAAUCCAUUGAGCCACCUAGCUGCCCCCUCCCAUGAGUUUUAAUACCUACUCUACUUGUCUCAUAAAAUUCCUAUAAAACUCAAAAAAGAGAACAUAUAUGAAAGCAUUUUGCAGACUGUAAAAUACUCAAUUUAAAUACAUGUAUACACAUACAAAUAUACACCUGAUAUCAAAAAUUGUGUUGCAUAAGGGUAGCUAGAUGGCACAGUAAAUAGAAAGCCAGGCCUGGAAUCAGGAAGACCUGGGUUCAAAUUGGACUUCAGACACUUCUUAGCUGUGUAAUCCUGGGCAAGUCACUUAACCCUGCUUUUACCAAGACCUUUCCUUUCUUUCUCAGAGUUGUUACUAAAACAGAAAGUAAGGGUUUGAGGAAGUUUUGUGUUUUUUAAUUGUAGUGUAUGAUUUAUUUAUCAGAAAUAGGGUGUGGAAACAAAACAAGGACUACAUAGGAGCUAAAUAAUAUAGAUCAUAUAUUAAAUAAUAUAUACCACAUAUUAUCUAUGUUGUAUAAGUCAUGAUAAUAUAUGAUCUCCGUAAACUGUAAGCUAAUAAUAAUUAAAGACAGCAGCAUGUUGUGGGUAGAGUUCUGGGCUUGGAGUCCGAAGGGCUUUGUAAUCUCGCCUCUUACAUAAUAUGUGCUGACUGAAUCUAGGCAAGUCUUUUAACCUCUUAGUGCCCCAGGUAACUCUUAAGAGUUUAAUUUGAAGAGAAAGUGCAUGUAUGUGUAUGUUGAUCUCAUUUUAUCCUUACAACUCUUGGAGGUAGCUGCUAUUAUCUCUCAUUUUAUAGAUGAAAAAACUGAGGCAAUCAAAUAUUUGGUGACUUGAUCAGGAUGUUGAAUAAGGUCUUUUUUAUUGAUUGAAAUGAUGGAUUGAUGAAGUUUCCACACUGAAAGUUCCCCAGAUUUGUCACAGGUUCAGUGUUUGAAAAACCCCCAGCAAACCUUUGUGAUUCCAGGAAUACAGGUUAAAGGCUAAUGCAGAUAAGAACAGUACUUAUCUCAUCUAAUAGGACUAAAUCACUGACAUCAGUCUUAGACGUGAAGAAAAGAUGUUUACAACUGUAAAUAAAUGGGGGGAGGCAGUGGACCCAGGGAGCUAAAUGUACAUGGGACAACUGACUUAUCACCCUACAUUUUUUUUAACCACUUACCUUCCAUCUUAGAAUCAAUACUGUGUUUUGGUUCCAAGGCAGAAUAGCCAUAAGGGAUAGGCAAUGGGAGUUAAGUGACUUGCCCAUUGUCAAACAACUAGGGUGUAUCUGAGGUUAGAUUUGAACCCAGGACCUUCCAUCUCUAGGCCUGGCUCUGACUUCAAGUCAUCUAAUUGCCCCCUCACCCUGCAUUCUUACUAACUUAGGGGCAUGUUUCUAAAUGUCACUUUUGAGAAAUGUUGUUUCAACUGGUGUCUUUGUAAAUUGCACUCUAUAAUGCUUAAAACUCUGUUUUAUGAAGGGAAAACUUGAUAUUGAUUUAUUACUUUACCUUAAAUUGAAUUCUUACAUGAAAGGGGGAGGGAUUCAGUAAUGUCCUGAAAAGCCCUCAGCAGUGUUUACAGAAAGAGAAGUUGACCUCCGAUCAGUGCAGUGACCAAACACUCUAGAAGACAGAUGAUGAGGCGUAUGCUUCCCACCCCUUAGAUGGGUUGCAGAAUGAGACAUACAUUUUCAGUCUCAUCUAACAUGUGGAUCUUUUUGACUUCAUUACGCUUUUUUGAUUUAAGGGAAAGCUUUGGGGGAGGAAAGAUUAAUGUAAUUGGAGUACUGAUGAUGUUAGGGGAAAAAAAGAAAAGAAAGAUAAGAACAUUUAAGAAACAUUUUUUAAAAUACACAGAAGAGAGCAGAAGGACGUUCAGAAGGAGACACAUAUGAACAGGGCUAUGUGUUAAAUUUAAUAUAUACUUAAAAAAAAUCAGAAUAGAGAUUCAUGCUUUCAUAUACAUCCUCCUUUUCUGUUCUUUGUAUAUGGAAAUGUUUGUGUUUUUCAACAAUUGUUAAGUUUAUUUUAUAAAGAAAGGAAGUUUUUUUUGUUGUUUUUUUUUAAAGAGAAGUUGAAUUCCCCCAGAUUCCAUUCUGGGAAGUCCCAUAAGAUAACCAACCAGAGCAGAUUUCAACUUGAGCAAUGCCAUAUUGUAGAACGUUCCCUAUACUUCAUUCUGCUCUGGAGAGAUGAGAUUACCUUUGCCACUCUGAGCCCCUAAGGGUUCUGGUUAUUUAUAGUUUCCUUCUCUGACCUAACAGGUCAGAUGGGAUGACACAGCAUCCCAAGUCAGUUUAAAAAACUCACUGAAGCAAAAACAAAUUACAACAGCUUUGGUUGUGAGUUUGAGUCAGAAUAUUCAGUCUGGAAUGUACCUUAGAGAGUUCCUUAUUCAUUGGACACAGAAACAAACUAUGACCCAGAAGAAGUAAUACCUGGGACAAAAAUUUAGCAUUCAUCCACUCAGAUUGUGUUUUUUCUCUUUCAUUAUCCUGACUCUCCUUUACAAUUCCUCCAUAAAUUUGUCUAAAUGAUUCUUAAGAAAAAUAACACCCUUUAGGGCUUUUAUUCAUUUAACAAAAGAGUAUAAUUUUAAAAAUACUUUUAACAGCACCAAAUUUUCUCCUAGUAUCCUGCCCUUCCCCCCAUCCCAUAUAAUAAGUAAUAUUUUUUUAAAGAAUAAAAAAUACAAGAGAGGAAAAAAAACAGCAAAACUGGUCAAUACAGAAGAAGAAUCUCAAAUGUGCACAGUAUAUAACAACUACAGAUCUCCUAGCUUGACAAAAGAGUGAAGAAGGAAUGUCUCUUCAUCUUUUGGGCGUGGGGGGGGGGAGGAGAAUACUUAUUCUUUGUGAUUUUUCCACAUUCAUUUUUUAUUGUUUUAUAGCUCUUAUUUCCAUUUAUCCUAUAGAAGUUGUGUAUUUUAUUGUCUUAGUUCUGUUUACUUCCCUUUGCAUCAGGUCCUCUAAAUCUUUUCAUGUUUCUCCAUAUUCAUAUUUGUUAUUUCUUACAGAACUAUAGAAUUCUAUUACAUUCAUGUACCACAUUUUGUUUUUAGCCAUUCCCCCAACAAUGAGCAUCUACAUUGUUUCCAAUUCUUUGCUAUCAAAAAAAGUGCUGCUAUGAAUGUAUUAAUUAUAUGGGGACUUUCUUCUUAUCAAUGACCUCAUUAGGACAUAAGCCUAGUAAUGGAAUCUCUGAGUCAAAAUGUAUGGGCAUUUUAGUCAUUAUGAACAAUUUUCAAGGAAGAAUUACAAUUAUAAAAAACCAUAUGAAAACAUAUUCCAAGUCACUACAUAGAGAGAAAAAAAUUAAAAAACUACAGUGUCAUAUCCUAUGAAAUGGAGGAAGACAAUAAUAAAAAUGGAAAAAAUCAAUGCUGAAAGAGUUGUGAAAAGACACACACUAAUACACUGUUGUGUGGUAAUGAAUUGGUCCAACAUUCUAGAUAUUAAUUUGGAAAUGUGGAAGAAAGCUGCCUAAAUUAUUCAUGCCUUUUAGUCCAUCAAACCAAAAUGACAUAGCUUUCAAGGACGACAGAAACAAAAUUCCAGUACCUACCAAAAUAUUCAUUGUAACGGUCUUUAUGGUAGUAAAGAAUUUGAAGGAAAGUGGGUAUCUAGUUGAUUGAGGAAUGAUUGAACAAACUGUAAUGGAAUAUUAUUAUACAGUAAGAAGUCACUAAUGUGAGGAAUUCAGAGACAAAUGGGAAGAUUCUUAGAAACUGAUUCAAGGUGAGAACCAGAAGAAUAAUUAUACAUGACUACAACAACAUAAAUAAAAAGACCCCUGAAAGAACGUUGAACUCUGAACUAUUGAAAAGUCAAUAAUAGUUCUGUUGAAUGAGUCAAUGAAUGCUUACUUCAUACAAAGCACAAGAGCUGGAGAUACAGACAGAAAGCUAAGAUAGUCCCUGCUCUCAAGGAGCUUACACUCUAAUAAGGGAGACAACACAGUUUUAGCUGCAAGUCAGUUGUUAAAGUCCCAUAGUCCUUAGAGGGCAUCAGCUAAACUGUUAGUUCUGGUUGACUUCUUGUCUUUUCCAUUGAUUCAGUCAUAUUGUUUUUUAAAAUGCUGAAUCAUUUGAUAGGGCCUAGGAUUUUGAUAGCAACAAGUGUCUUCUGAGUCUUCAAUAAAUGUGGUUGAAGCACCUGUAGGAACAAUUACAACACUACAUCUCCACAUCUUCCCAGGAUGACAGCUAAAUCAAUCAGUCAAUUAAUAGCCUGCUAUGUGUCAGGCAUUAUGAAAAGUGCUGGAAAUGCAAAGAAAGACAUAAAAUGGUUCCUGUUCUCCAGGAAUGCACAGUCUAAUGGCUGAAAGUACCAGACUGGAAACGUUGCCAUUCCCAAGGCUUUUGGAUUUAGGUUCCUGGACUGUCUCCAUCAGAGUGAAGGUCGAUGGUGGUCAGGGUGAUGACAUGACAUUUAGAUGGCAGAAAACAACAAAGCUCUCUACCCAUUCUUGCUUCAAAUUUGCUACCUCUUGACUGUCAAGAGUGCCUUGCUCGCCUGCCCUGUGGGUGGCAGUUGGUUGACAGUUGGCCCCUUCUCAAGAAGAGUUGCCUCCCUAGCUGAUGGUUAUGGGAGGUGGACUUAGAAGCAGGAUCAAUGAUUGACACAGGUGCUGUCACUCUCAAAAAUCCAUCUUUAGGAAGACACCUGUUGGUGGCAGUUGGUCAGUAUUUCCUGCUGUUGAUAUUGAGCAAGGCAAGAAGAAACAAUCUCCACAAUGAUUUCUCCCAUCAACAGUGACUGUGGGGAUCAUAUUGGAAGCAGAAAUCCCUACUAGGAUGUGGAUCGCAAUUGUCUAGAGCACUAAGUCCAGAAGAAGCCAAGCUCCAGUGUCCAGCUAAGGCAGAGAAGUCUGAAAUGCCACAAGUUAAAGGUCAGGCACCAGCCUAGAAAGUUGAGGAGAUGUCCUGCACCAGAGAAUGAUGGUCCUCAGGAACUAUUUGUUUUUACCAGAAGAGGCUCAAUUGACAGCUUGGCUUGUUAUGUGGCCCCCAGGCUUGAGUUCUUAGAUGUAAAGUGUGCCAUCCAACGUCAAAGACUAUGCAUAUGGAGCAGAACUCCAAGGGUGGCCUGAUGAAAAAGCCCUGAGCAUAAUUUGGCCAGUGCCACAUUGAAUGCUGCUUGUCAGUGUUGGGUUGUCAAUGCAGGGAUCAGUUAUGACUUCAACUUACACUCUAAGCAUGGAAGGUUCAUGUGGAUAAAGAUGCUUUAUUCAGAAUACCACAUGACGGUGGAACUGUAGUGAUACCAGAAGGAAGUGUGAGAGUUAUUCGUGAUCUCUACAGAAUUAGUAUAACUAAGUAGAAGUGUAGCUGAGUGCUUAGUACUUCCACCAGACAAUAUGCCAAGACAUAUAUGGAAACCUUGAUUCGCUGAGCAUUGAACACUUGUCUCCAAUGUCUAUGGACAACAGGCAAGCCGAAGCUGGGACUGAUGUACUAAGAAAAGUGAUACAAGCCAAAAAGCAAGGGAACUCUGCUGUUGAGACAGUUGCAGAAGUUGGAGCUAUCCAGUGGAUUACUGUCCCAGAUUUUGACUGUUCCCUUACAUGGAAACAUGAAGUAGUUGGUGCUGACCAGAGCAUAUUACCUGACCAUAACAGCCCUCCUUGAUGACUAAUGAGUCAAAAAAUGACCCUCUAGUUGGUAAGAAACAGAUUUUUACCAGCCUAAGAUGACUGCAGAUGUCCCUAAGAAGGGAGAAAUUUGUGCCUAAUGUGUGCAAAGCAUCAUGUCAUGCUCCGUAUUUGGAGGAUUUAAGUGUGAGUAAUCUUGAAACUUAUUUAUAAGAACUUUUUAUUUCUGCAAGAAGACAGUCAAACUGCAGUAUAAUUCUAGGCAAAUCACAUAACCUCCGUUGCCCAGUCCCUACCACUCUUCUGCUUUGGAACGAACACACAGUAUUGAUUCUAAGACAGAACAUAAGCAUUUUUUUAAAAAAAGAAAAUAGUAAAAUUAUAAGCCAUAUCUUAUCGAAGAUGAAUUGUUUCCUCAGGUAUAUACGAGCAUACCCAGCCAAGAACCAGAAAGCAUCUGUGGUUUUGUUUUUGGCUUUGUUUUGCAGAAGAACUACUGGGGCUAGGCAAUUGGAGUUAAGUGGUUGGCCCAGGGGUCACUCUGCUAAGAAGUAUCUGAGGUCAGCUUUGAACCCAAGACCUCCCAUCCCCAGGCCUGGCUCUCUAUCCAAUGAUAGUUGCCCCUUCUAGACCUACUUAUGAUGUUAUACAUGUACCUGAAAAAAUAUAGAUGUGUGUCGAGAUGAAAAUAUUAGACAUUGCCUGUGUCUUGAAUGUAACUGAAUGUUUUAUUGUCUCUUAGUUGAGUAUUCUUAUUUAUUAUUUUGCUAUUCUCCUCAUUUGAUUAUUUGUUACGGUGAUGCUAUUUGUUAAUUGGGGUUUUUUGUUUAUUUGCAUGUGUGCUAAGGCCAUUUUACUAUACUGAUACAACCAGCUGGCUUUUCUUUAUUGUUAUGAUUCUGUUGUUAGUUGGAGUAUGGAUACCAAGGUACUGGAGCUAUGUCUGUACGAGCAGUACAGUGUCCUGGACCGUGCUUGGCAGGCAACUUCGACAUGUUUAUCACCAAAGUACCCUGUCAAGUCAUCUUUGUAGAGUGAGUGCUGUAUAUACAGUAUAUAAAGCUAACCUCCAUCUUUCUUUCCUUACUCUUUUCAGUGAAGGACACCAGGAAAAUAUUCCUUUUUGUUUAAAGUGCUGGUGUGUGUCUGCUGUAGAAUCAGACUUGAAGCUCACCCCAGCUAAUUCUUACAAAAGAAUGCAAAGCGUUUCAGCCCAUACUCCCAGAUAGGUUUGUUUGUCCUUGGAAGAGUUUUUGUACACACAGGGAGAGUAACUCCUGAUUAGCUGAGAAACUAUGGGGAAGAAGCGAAAAAGACAGGGUGAAACUAGAGCGGUAGGCCUAUGGGACGAAGCUAGCACCCCAACAUGUUUCAUGAUGAACACUAUCUGAAACUCCAGCAGCUGCUAAAGCUGAUUACGCCAGUGUGAUUGGUCUCUUCCUGGUGGAGCUGAGGUUUCAUCUUGCACCUGGUUCGCAGCCCCCCAACUCCUAUGUAUUCUAUUGCCACACUAAGCUGUAUGAUUUCACCGAUUAUUGUUUUUGCUGGUUGCUUUGAUACAUAAAUGUUUGCUAGCUAAAUGUGACUAUUUUUCAUUUUUUUUUUGUUUUUAAUGCCAUCUGUUAGUUUCAAGGCAACAAAGAGUGAUAAGCACUAAGCUAUGGUGCCCAGGGUCACACAGCUAAUAAAUGUCUGAGACCAGAUUUGAACCCAGAACCUUCUGCCUCUAGGCAUGGCUCUCAAUCCUCUGAGCCACCUACCCCCUGUGACUAUCUAGUUCGUGUGGAACUACAUCUCCCUUUUAUUCUGAACCCCCCAAAAUAAUCAUAUCCUUAGACUGCAAAUAUCUGAUAUCUGAUAGAAAAUAAAAUCCUAAGACAAGCAUGGUAAGAACUUGGCAAUUGGGAUUAAGUACUUUCCCAUGUUCACACUGCUAGGAAAUGUCUGUGACCAGAUUUGAACCCAGGCUCUCCCACCUCCAAGCUUGUUGCUCUAUCCAUUGAACCACCUAGCAGCCUCUAGCCCAGUACUUCUUUUGAAAAUAGGAGAGUGGGGGCAACUAAGUGACUCAGUGAAUGGAGUACUACGCACAGGCUUGGGAAGACUUGAGUUCAAAUUUGCCCUCAGAUAUUUCCUAGCUGUGUGAUCUUGGGCAAGUCGUUUAGCCCCAUUUGCCUAACCCUUGCUCUUUAGAGUUGAUACUAAGAAGGUAAGGGUUUAAAAACAAAGGAAAAGAGGAGAGUGGAAGUGGAAUGAUUGCUGGGUCAAGGAUGAACCCUCCAGGAUGAAGCUUCAAUGUUCCUAAAAUAUAGGGCAGAAGGCAUUCCAAAUCAAUCAAAAAUCCAUAUUCCAUGUUCAUCUAGACCUUGUGACAAGGCCCUCUUAAAAACUAACAUGGGAUUGCAAUAAGAUUCUUAUAGUUUUGUUUUUGUUUUGUUUUUCUAAAACCCUUACCUUCUGUAGUACUGUGGUUUCAAGACAGAAGAAUGGUAAGGGCUAAGUAACUUGGCCAGGGUUACACAGCUAGGAAGUGUCUGAGGCCAGCUUUUAAUUCAGGACCUUCCGCUUCCAGGCCUGGCUCUCUACUGAGCCACCUGGAUGCUCCCUUUUAUAUUUUAUCUUUUUUACAUAUUUAUAUAUAUAUAUUUUUUUUAAUAUUUAUUUUUGAUGGUUUCAUAGGUUCUUGGGUUGUUUUUGGUUUGUUUUUGUUUUUUACUAGACCACAUAUCAAAACUUGCUGUUUUCCAUAGUUUAAAAUGUUUGCUUUUUUACCCAUAUAAAACAGAGAUUAAUUUGGCCACACUAAUGAAUCAAAUUCUGAUUUCUAAAUCUGCUUAUCUUCUCAACAUUAUCCAGACAACAGAAGGCUGGAUAGCUCUAUUUUGGCAGAUAGCUUGAUGACUCCAGUCACAUGAGAUGGGUGUAUAGCAGGAAAUGGAGUAAGAACCUCAGAUCCCAAAUCCUGAUGACGACUUCUAAUUUUUAAGAUCUUUCUUACAGUCUUAGAAAGAAGGGUGCUCAUGCCCUGGCUGAUUUUGGGAGGGAAAGGAAAGCCAGUCCUGUCACCAAUCCAAAGCCCCUCAGUAUUGCCCUCCCUCAACGUGCUGCUCAGCAUCAUUUGGGAGGUGGGCAGCGAGGAUCUGGGAGCAGAUACUGUCUCCCUACCACCCCCAAGGAAGGUUGCUGCCACCUCCCUUCUCUCUUCCCUGCUGUCAAGAGAACCAGUAAAUUGUCUUGGCUUGCCAAGAGAAAGAUUCACAACUGUCUUCUGCCUCAGGCAUUUCCACUGAGGCAUAUCCUACCCAUCACCUGUCUUGAUCUCCAAAAUACUUGUCAUAUAUUCUGCUAUGGGGAGCUAUGCUCCAAGGCCUAUAUCAUCUUGGAUCCUGAUGCUAGUCGGUGGGUGUCCCAUGCAGGAGGAGCAGGCAAGAGCUCCCACCAGCACAAGCCAAGGAAAUAAGAUACACAGGACUUGUAGAGGAAUUUGAGAAGUCACCUAACCCAGAUGGAGCAUCAGGAUACCUGGCUUCUGGGCUCUAACUGAAGCUAUGGCCUGUGCCUCAGGGGAGUUUCUAAGGUAAUGAGUUGAUUUCUGAUCUUCCAACUUUGCAAGGGUGUUAGGAAAGCCAACAAAUUUUUAGAUCUCACAUUAUUCAAAACAUAAAAACUGUGUACAAAAUAGAACCUAAGCAGCACCUAAAAGAAUUUGAAAGUGUCCCUGAGAACACUUUUUCCUGAGGAGGAAGAAACCACAGAAAGUCUUUACCUAAGGUCUGGGAAUUUGAUUUUAAAAAAUAUUUUGAUAUUCAAAUCCAGCCUCAGAUACUUAUUAACUGUGUGAUCCUGAGCAAGUCACUUCACCCUAUUUGCCUCAGAAAAAAAAAGGUAGAAAAAUGUUUUGAUACCUGUAUUUCAAUAUAAUAAGUUUCCUUUAUAAUCCUAUAUAUUUUAUUAUGUGUAUCUAUAAACAUGAUUCUUGGAAGAGAGUCUAUAAGUAAGUACCACUAGAAUACUAAAGGGGUCCAGGAUACUAAAAAAAUUAAGGAGAAUUAUAUAAGACCUCAUAGAAGCAAGAGUUUUUUGAGUCUUGAAGGAUGAUGAUAGAGUUGAACAUUCCAGAUAUAGGAAACUGUAUAAGAAUUUAACAUGAAUCUAUACCCUGCAUUCCUUUUUAUUUUAUUUUAAAAUUAAAAUUAUUUUAAAAUUUUAUUUAGAACAUUUUUCCAUGGUUAUAUGAUUCAUGAUUUUUCUCACCUCUCUUCCCUCCCUACUCCCAGAGCUGACAAGCAGUUCCACUGGGUUAUACAUGCAUCAUUGUUCAAAACCUAUGUUUUGAAUAUGUCCAUGUUACUCAUAUUUGCAGUAGAAUGAUCUUUUAACAUCAAAACCCUAACCAUAUCCCUGUCAAAUCACGUGAUCCUACAUUCCUUUUUAAAAGGAAAGUUUUCAUUUGAAUUUGAAAAUCCAUUUCAGUUUUAUCCCUACCCUUUGGUUGGAAUAGGAACAAGGCCUGAGGCUUAUCUGUGUAAGAGGGACACCCAAAGCCUCUUGGCUCUCUGGUGUCCUGGAAGAUGCUUGCUUCUUUUGCCACAUCCAGCAGGCAGGCCUCUGACUCAUACUGAGGUCAAGCUCAUCCACUCAGGAAGACCCAGAAAAGGUAGCAUCACAGAGGAGGGUAUAUGUAAUGAAUCAAGGAAGCUUUCUGGACUGUUCUGGCCAAGCAGCAGGGCCAAACAGAGACAAGAGCAAGCUGCUUGGUUUAGCUAGGGAAGAUGCGUGGCCAGCCGUGUAAAGAUUAAAAUGAUUAAUUUUUUGCAAACGAUCAAAGGGGGGGAAUGUGAAAAAUAGACUCGAAUACAGGACUACAAUCCCCAUGAGCCUUUGCUCCACUUCCCCAGAAUGCCUUGUAAUCUCACCUGGGCCGAGAUCGAGAAGGUAUUUAAGACUGAUUCAAAGGCUUUUGAGAGGUGGGGUCUUUUGGACUUCCGUUUUGGAGCAGAGGCGUCUCUUCCAUGAUGUGAGGUUAUUUUGUCUAGGCCUCUGGCCUAGGCACAUGUUUCUUACUUGUAUAUUCUUAAUCUUUAACCUUUAAUAAACCUCUAAAAAAUAUAAUACUCCUUGCAGAGAGAAACUAAUUUCUACCUGCCUCAGUCUCCCCAUCUCCCCUUAAAUUUUAAUCUUUACAGCCGGCCAUGGGGACUAUGUGCCUUUUCUUUCUCCAACCUGCUUUUCACUAUUUAAUGAAUAAUUGUAAAUUAAUUUACAGUCUCCAGAGAAUUUUAAUUGUAACAAAUGUGAACAAAGACAGAUGUGGUGGGCAAUGGAGGACUGUAAUUUAGGAAUGGAGAGGAGUCCAGUUUCCUGGAGCCUCAGAAUAAGAAGUUUAAGGACCAGCAGAAGACUUCCUCAGGUCGCUUCCUCAGUUAUCUAUCUCUGUGUGGAGUCUUUAGCCAGAAGUCCACCAGCAUAGCCUCCUCUACAGCCUGAGCCACUCACCCAGCAAGCUGACGCAGGAUCCAGGAAAAAGAGUCUCCUCCAGAGCCAAGGCAGAAAUCUCUGGAACCAAUCUCUCCAAACACCAGGAAAGGAAUGGUAGAAGGCCCACUUCUUCAGCCCAUGUUGGUCUCUUUUAUACUCCAUUUUCCAUGUCAUUUCCUGUCUCUUCCCCUUCUUCACAGAAACCAAUUGCAGCUUUUCAAUUUGCUUAGUCCUACCCAGGGCUGGGCAGUCCCCUUUGGAAGUGAGAGUUUUUGACUUGUGAACUCUCUUACUUAAGUGUUAAGUAGGGGUGCUUUAUGUUCUUGAUUGACUAAGUUAAAGGUUGCUGCGUGAUUUCAUUAAAAUAGACAAAGAGAGAUAAUAAUUCUAUCUUCACAGAAGGAAUAAUAGUAUGAAAAUUUUGAAGAGGAGGUUAAAACUAGAGUUUUUGCAGCAUCUUUGAAUACUUGCUAAGGAAACUAGACCAUGUGGUAAGUAAUGGGGAGUCACUGAAAGUUUUUGAGCAGUAGAGUCAUGCAGAUAUAUGAUUUUAUGCUUUUAAUUAGCUUAAUCUUCCACUGAGAAACCAUAAUAUACUGAAUUGCCUUUUUUUUCAAAUGGCUUUUAAAGUAGUAGUUUUCUUUCAUCUUUUACCUGGUUCUCCUUGUCAGUGACAUUUAUGUACCAGAUGGCUGAUGGGCAUACUGUGGCUGUGGAGCAAAGCAAUACCAAUAGUCUCAAGGGUUGGCUAAUCCGCACGUGCUAUGGACUUUGUUUAGUCCAUGCUUAAACCAGUCACCUCCAAAUAUUUUUGAUUAUGCAUCUCUAUCAAUAAAAAUUUUGAACACAUUGCCAAUAUAGGCAUAUUUAUAAAUUAUACACAAGUACUACUAUAAUAAUAUGUUGCAUACAUUAUAAAAAUAAAACAAGGCAUUCUUUUAUUUAACAAAAUAAACUU